GUGGUUAUAGCUCAAGUGGUAGAGUUCUUGCUUAGAAUGCACGAGGUCCUGGGUUCAAUUCCCGGUACCUCCA
RNAcentral lists this transfer RNA (73 nucleotides) under Camelus ferus (Wild Bactrian camel). It matches the Rfam family "tRNA". From Rfam's summary of the family: Transfer RNA (tRNA) molecules are approximately 80 nucleotides in length. Their secondary structure includes four short double-helical elements and three loops (D, anti-codon, and T loops). The record is from Rfam by way of RNAcentral. Lineage: Eukaryota; Metazoa; Chordata; Mammalia; Artiodactyla; Camelidae.